RNAcentral lists this ribosomal RNA (497 nucleotides) under Listeria monocytogenes. Its description in RNAcentral is "bacterial SSU rRNA". It matches the Rfam family "Bacterial small subunit ribosomal RNA", at positions 823 to 1321 of the family's 1533-position model. Lineage: Bacteria; Bacillati; Bacillota; Bacilli; Caryophanales; Listeriaceae. The record is from RNAcentral.
UUAGGGGGUUUCCGCCCCUUAGUGCUGCAGCUAACGCAUUAAGCACUCCGCCUGGGGAGUACGACCGCAAGGUUGAAACUCAAAGGAAUUGACGGGGGCCCGCACAAGCGGUGGAGCAUGUGGUUUAAUUCGAAGCAACGCGAAGAACCUUACCAGGUCUUGACAUCCUUUGACCACUCUGGAGACAGAGCUUUCCCUUCGGGGACAAAGUGACAGGUGGUGCAUGGUUGUCGUCAGCUCGUGUCGUGAGAUGUUGGGUUAAGUCCCGCAACGAGCGCAACCCUUGAUUUUAGUUGCCAGCAUUUAGUUGGGCACUCUAAAGUGACUGCCGGUGCAAGCCGGAGGAAGGUGGGGAUGACGUCAAAUCAUCAUGCCCCUUAUGACCUGGGCUACACACGUGCUACAAUGGAUAGUACAAAGGGUCGCGAAGCCGCGAGGUGGAGCUAAUCCCAUAAAACUAUUCUCAGUUCGGAUUGUAGGCUGCAACUCGCCUACAU